Molecule: long non-coding RNA, 526 nt
Organism: Diceros bicornis minor
Lineage: Eukaryota; Metazoa; Chordata; Mammalia; Perissodactyla; Rhinocerotidae
Exons: 6
Source: RefSeq, a predicted model, not a curated record
GCAGAUAGUCUUCCUUGUGCAGAAGGAGAGUUUAUCUUCCUUCGUCUUGAUGUUCUUCGUGAGUAUUUGGAAAGAGAGCUCACCAUGGCCAGCCUACCGCUCACAUUUGAUGUCGAGAGGAGCACUGAUGACUGGGUCUUCAUGUGCUUCUUUGUGGGAAAUGACUUCCUUCCUCACCUGCCGUCGUUAGAGAUUCGGGUUACCUUACAGAAAGUGGUUAUGUCAAUCUGCAAAGAUUACAGAUGAUCAUGUUAGCAGUUGGUGAAGUUGAGGAUAGCAUUUUUAAAAAGAGAAAGGAUGAUGAGGACAGUUUUAGAAGACGACAGAAAGAAAAGAGAAAGAGAAUGAAGAGAGAUCAACCAGCUUUCACUCCUGGUGGAAUAUUAACCCCUCAUGCCUCGGGUUCAAGAAAUUCACCAGGUUCUCAAGUAGCCAGUAAUCCGAGACAAGCAGCCUAUGAAAUGAGGAUGCAGAAUAAUUCUAGUCCUUCAGUAUCUCCUAAUACGAGUUUCACUUCUGAUGGCCC